Molecule: non-coding RNA, 1035 nt
Organism: Meleagris gallopavo (turkey)
Lineage: Eukaryota; Metazoa; Chordata; Aves; Galliformes; Phasianidae
Source: RefSeq, a predicted model, not a curated record
CUGGCAGCGAAGGUGAGAGCAUCUCCCUCGAGAUCCCUGCAUGCCCGAGGUCUUAUGAAGGCAAGCAGCUUCUUUUCCUUUGUUUCUGUGCCUACGGCGUUUGAGCCUCGAUUGUCAACUGAGUCCUCAAUUGCUGCGGCCUGGAACUUUGCUACUCUGCUGUCAUCGCUGUGCUUUGCAUUGCGUUACAGCAUUAUACCACUUACGGGCACUUCAGCAGGCUGGUGUCAUACGUAUAAAGAACAAAGCAGGAAUGAUGUUGCAUACAGGCACGCUUAUGUAUUUUGCCGAAUGGCUGAUAGGUAGAAACUGCAUGAGUUUGCUUUGUGCAACCGUAAUGACCUAAAAGUAAGCCCUACCCGCCUUCAUUUAGGCAUUAAUCAAAGCUCAUGGAUGUUGUCACGAGGACAGCUUCUGUCCUCACCUUGAGCUUUGUAGAUGCUGGCUGGUGAGAUCCAGCUGCAUGCGACAGUGUGGAAACGCUGCCUGCUCCCAAUGGCUGAGCUCGGCAGGAAAGCGCGGCUGUGCCGCGGCAAGUCGGUGCCUGCAGGGAUGUGACGGUAGCUUCAGUUGGUUUGAUUUCUUAAAAAGAGUUGUGCUUACGUUUCUAUUUGUGCCGAGUAGUACACUGGUGUGGGCUACUUCAGUAUCGCUGAGAGAGAGAUCUGGGGAGACAGAUGCCUACAAUCCACCUGUUUGCUUUCUUUUCUUCAGCACGCCGUCGGCCUCGCGGGAGAUCUGCAUCACGUCUCGCAUCCGAGAAGAUACGAUUUGUGUUCCCCGUCAGCAUCCCUUGGUUUCUGCGUGAAAACUGAGCAUGCAUCACAGCUGGCAGACAAGGCAAAAGAAGAUGACUACAAGAUGACCGAAGGCACCUGAAACAAAGCAGCUCCACAGGAACUAAGAGGAGGAAGACCAGAUUUCUAAGCGUUAGAAGAGCAAAGAAUCUCGCCCAUUCCAGAGCGUUUUUUCAAGCUCCAGCACCUGGAGCAGAGCAGCUUUACCCGGGAACCCGAAAGCCUCAAACUGCCGGUA